AUUGAACGCUGGCGGCAUGCCUUACACAUGCAAGUCGAACGGCAGCGCGGGGCAACCUGGCGGCGAGUGGCGAACGGGUGAGUAAAAUAUCGGAACAUACCCUAGAGUGGGGGAUAACGUAGCGAAAGUUACGCUAAUACCGCAUACGCACUAAGGUGGAAAGUGGGGGAUCUUCGGACCUCAUGCUCAUGGAGUGGCCGAUAUCUGAUUAGCUAGUUGGUGAGGUAAAGGCUCACCAAGGCGACGAUCAGUAGCUGGUUUGAGAGAACGACCAGCCACACUGGAACUGAGACACGGUCCAGACUCCUACGGGAGGUAGCAGUGGGGAAUUUUGGACAAUGGGGGGCAACCCUGAUCCAGCAAUGCCGCGUGAGUGAAGAAGGCC
RNAcentral lists this ribosomal RNA (385 nucleotides) under uncultured bacterium. RNAcentral describes it as "bacterial SSU rRNA". It matches the Rfam family "Bacterial small subunit ribosomal RNA", at positions 30 to 416 of the family's 1533-position model. The record is from RNAcentral.